Loxodonta africana (African savanna elephant) is the source of this 82-nucleotide small nucleolar RNA. Its record names the gene SNORD116. It matches the Rfam family "Small nucleolar RNA SNORD116". Rfam says of the family: HBII-85 is a member of the C/D class of snoRNAs, which contain the C (UGAUGA) and D (CUGA) box motifs. HBII-85 is encoded in a tandemly repeated array with another C/D snoRNA, HBII-52, in the Prader-Willi syndrome (PWS) region of chromosome 15. Unlike most other snoRNAs, HBII-85 is expressed prevalently in the brain (but is absent in PWS patients) and lacks any significant complementarity with ribosomal RNA. The record is from Ensembl. Lineage: Eukaryota; Metazoa; Chordata; Mammalia; Proboscidea; Elephantidae.
GAAUCAAUAUUGACUAAAAUAAUGGCUCUUCUUGGAAUCUGAACAAAAUUAGUGAUAAGAUCACCUUGCAAAACUGAGGUUU